RNAcentral lists this long non-coding RNA (576 nucleotides) under Hordeum vulgare. Its description in RNAcentral is "long non-coding RNA (HVUL_LNC002470)". The record is from RNAcentral. Lineage: Eukaryota; Viridiplantae; Streptophyta; Magnoliopsida; Poales; Poaceae.
AUAUGCACUCCCUCGGUAAAGAAAUAUAAGAGCGGUUAGAUCGCUACUUUAGUGAUCAAAACCACAACCAUAAAAUAUUUCUUUAGAGGGGAAGCACAUGACAUAAAUAUUUCUGUUAUAUUACAAGUAUAAAAUAAAUUGAUGCAGAGACCACCAAACAAUAUGGACAUGCAAAUGUCACAAAAUACAAAAUAACUAACAUAGUAUCAGGUAAGCAUCAUUACGCAACGCCAAAGGUGAGAGAAACAAGAGCCAAGAUUAUCACCUCCAAAACUACCAACCGAUUAUCUAAUAGACUUGAGUGCCAAGAUUCAUCACCACCCACCAUCAGUCCAUUGGCGAUAUCUACUAGUUGAGCAUCAUCAACUUGAUGAGGUUGAGGAGACCACCACUUGUUCCCCCUGACUUAUGCAGUUGUUCUUUUUCCCCAACUCGUCUCCUCCCUGUUGAACAAGAGCACCCAUGUUGUUCCUUGCCAAUUCGUCGUGCUGCGGCGGAUCGGAUUUGCUGGCUUUAUAGAUGUUCCAGAUUGCGUAGGCGCUUGCAGCAGGGCUCAAGCACAUCCACAUGAUAUAG